UGGGGAAUAUUGGACAAUGGGGGCAACCCUGAUCCAGCAAUACCGCGUGAGUGAAGAAGGCCUUCGGGUUGUAAAGCCCUUUUACCGGGGAAGAUAAUGACGGUACCCGGGGAAUAAGCUCCGGCUAACUUCGUGCCAGCAGCCGCGGUAAUACGAAGGGAGCUAGCGUUGUUCGGAAUUACUGGGCGUAAAGGGCGCGUAGGCGGUUUUGUAAGUCAGAUGUGAAAGCCCCGGGCUUAACCUGGGAACUGCAUUUGAGACUGCAAGACUAGAGAUCGAGAGAGGAAAGUGGAAUUACGAGUGUAGAAGUGAAAUUCGUAGAUAUUCGUAGGAACACCGGUGGCGAAGGCGACUUUCUGGCUCGACCCUGACGCUAAAGCGCGAAAGCGUGGGGAGCAAACA
This 402-nucleotide ribosomal RNA is filed under the name uncultured bacterium. RNAcentral's name for it is "bacterial SSU rRNA". It matches the Rfam family "Bacterial small subunit ribosomal RNA", at positions 355 to 774 of the family's 1533-position model. The record is from RNAcentral.